UGCCCAGCAACUCCUAUCCCUACCUCCUCGCGGUACUGGCCGGGGUACAAGUAACCUAGGGGUCCAAGUCUGUACUCCAUGUCAGGGGCGG
RNAcentral lists this ribozyme (91 nucleotides) under Aedes aegypti (yellow fever mosquito). RNAcentral describes it as "drz-agam-1 ribozyme". It matches the Rfam family "drz-agam-1 ribozyme". The record is from Rfam by way of RNAcentral. Lineage: Eukaryota; Metazoa; Arthropoda; Insecta; Diptera; Culicidae.